This 208-nucleotide long non-coding RNA is filed under the name Sorghum bicolor (sorghum). RNAcentral's name for it is "long non-coding RNA (SBIC_LNC005955)". The record is from RNAcentral. Lineage: Eukaryota; Viridiplantae; Streptophyta; Magnoliopsida; Poales; Poaceae.
UUGGCACUGUAGAGAAGAAGUGCCACCGGACUGUUUGGUAGUCCACGUGAACAGCGCCACUUCUGGGGUAUUAGCUGCUGCAAUUGAUUUCCCUGGAUUCAGCCGGUGACAAUUGUACAGCCUCAGUACGUGUACGGGCACUCAGUCACACACACACCUAGCACUACAAUUGCACACGUACUACUGUUCAUUGACACAACAAAUGGAA